CCGCGUGGGGGAUGACGGUCUUCGGAUUGUAAACCCCUUUCAGUAGGGACGAAGCGCAAGUGACGGUACCUGCAGAAGAAGCACCGGCUAACUACGUGCCAGCAGCCGCGGUAAUACGUAGGGUGCGAGCGUUGUCCGGAAUUACUGGGCGUAAAGAGCUCGUAGGCGGUUUGUCACGUCGUCUGUGAAAUCCCUCGGCUUAACCGGGGGCGUGCAGGCGAUACGGGCAGACUUGAGUACUACAGGGGAGACUGGAAUUCCUGGUGUAGCGGUGAAAUGCGCAGAUAUCAGGAGGAACACCGGUGGCGAAGGCGGGUCUCUGGGUAGUAACUGACGCUGAGGAGCGAAAGCAUGGGUAGCGAACAGGAUUAGAUACCCUGGUAGUCCAUGCCGUAAACGGUGGGCGCUAGGUGUGGGGUCCUUCCACGGACUCCGUGCCGUAGCUAACGCAUUAAGCGCCCCGCCUGGGGAGUACGGCCGCAAGGCUAAAACUCAAAUGAAUUGACGGAA
This 510-nucleotide ribosomal RNA is filed under the name uncultured bacterium. RNAcentral describes it as "bacterial SSU rRNA". It matches the Rfam family "Bacterial small subunit ribosomal RNA", at positions 397 to 918 of the family's 1533-position model. The record is from RNAcentral.